This 507-nucleotide ribosomal RNA is filed under the name uncultured bacterium. RNAcentral describes it as "bacterial SSU rRNA". It matches the Rfam family "Bacterial small subunit ribosomal RNA", at positions 29 to 516 of the family's 1533-position model. The record is from RNAcentral.
AGUGAACGCUGGCGGCAGGCCUAACACAUGCAAGUCGAGCGGCAGCGCGUCCGACCACCCUCGGGUGGUCGGAUGGCGGCGAGCGGCGGACGGGUGAGGAAUGCAUCGGAAUCUGCCUCGUUGUGGGGGAUAACGUAGGGAAACUUACGCUAAUACCGCAUACGACCUACGGGUGAAAGUGGGGGACCUUCGGGCCUCACGCGAUGAGAUGAGCCGAUGCCGGAUUAGCUAGUUGGCGGGGUAAAGGCCCACCAAGGCGACGAUCCGUAGCUGGUCUGAGAGGAUGAUCAGCCACACUGGAACUGAGACACGGUCCAGACUCCUACGGGAGGCAGCAGUAGGGAAUAUUGGACAAUGGGGGCGAACCCUCGAUCCAGCCAUGCCGCGUGAGUGAAGAAGGCCCUCGGUUGUAAAGCUCUUUUGUCCGGAAAGAAAGCAAUCGGUUAAUACCCGGUUGUUCUGACGGUACCGGAAGAAUAAGCACCGGCUAACUUCGUGCCAGCAGCC